This 252-nucleotide ribosomal RNA is filed under the name uncultured Bacteroidales bacterium. RNAcentral's name for it is "partial 16S ribosomal RNA". It matches the Rfam family "Bacterial small subunit ribosomal RNA", at positions 524 to 776 of the family's 1533-position model. The record is from RNAcentral. Lineage: Bacteria; Pseudomonadati; Bacteroidota; Bacteroidia; Bacteroidales.
UACGGAGGAUGCGAGCGUUAUCCGGAUUUAUUGGGUUUAAAGGGUGCGUAGGCGGGAUGCCAAGUCAGCGGUCAAAUACGGGGGCUCAACCUGCGUCCGCCGUUGAAACUGGCGUUCUUGAGUGGGCGAGAAGUACGCGGAAUGCGUGGUGUAGCGGUGAAAUGCAUAGAUAUCACGCAGAACCCCGAUUGCGAAGGCAGCCUGCCAAGCCAUGACUGACGCUGAUGCACGAAAGCGUGGGGAUCGAACAGG